GACUGCCCAGGCCAGGAGGACAAGGCUCGGGGCAGAUCCCAAGCCUCACCUCCGCCCGCACCGCUGAGAGGACGCCAGCGCUGGGUCGGGUGGUGGAUGCGGAACCCGCCCAGGGCCUGACCCCCAUGGCCGCCCCAGCCUCGCCUGGAGCAAGCAGAACCCUGACAUGGAUGUGGACAAGAACAGGACCCUGGACCUGGACAUGAACAAGCAGUGGCUGUGAGAGGGCUGCUGCCCCAUCCUGACACCCCUGGAGCCCAUGUCCCCCAGCAGCAGGCAGUAAUGAACAGAUGGUGUUUCCAGCUGAGAGAGGAGGACAGCUGGGACUUGCCCAUGGACUACACCAAAAUGAAGUCCUGAAGGAUAGAUGAGGAUGAGUCCAAAAGGAUUGCUGUAUGUCCUUGUCAUUGCCCCCACCUUUGUCCACACAGCAUGUGAAGUUGGCAUCACUGAGGAAAAUGCACUUGGCACACACCUCAGCAGAAUUGUCUUUUCUCUUUGAAUAUGACCUUUAGCUGAUCAGGGCUUAGAGGACUUAAGUUGACCCAGGAGAUAUUUGGAUUGAUUUGAGUGAAACAAACCAUUGACUUUUUUAAAUGAUGGAUUUCAUUUUCUAACAACUGUGUUUUGUAACAAACUAUUUCUCUAAGAAAGUGUAUAAACAGCAUACCAGUUCAUUUUUUUCUGGGUGACAGAGCGAUAUAAGGCAGAAUUUUCCUUUCAGAUGGAGAAUGGUAAUGAGAGUCUUAAAUAUUUAAAUGGUUAACUAUACGCUGUUAAUUACCUAGCUUUUUGAGGCUAAGGACAGGGUCUCUUCUCUAAGAAAUCUAAAAUAUUCAGAAGAGUAGACUCUAGCCUAGAAUGUCAACUUAGUACUGCCACCUAAAUCUUUGUUGACUAUAAUAUUACCAAAGCACCUAUGUCAAGAACAUAUUUCUAAAGUAGUUACAAUUUUGCAAUUCAGAUUAUUAAAAUAGUUAUCCUUUAGGCUAAGAAAGAAGUGAAAAAAAAAGUUUUUUGUUAGCCUGAGUCAAUUCUGAAAAUUAUGGUAUCCUCUUUAUUCCCUGGAAAAUGAACAUUCUUUUUGAACACAAUAGGGAGACCCUGAUCAAAGCAAGAGCAUCUUACAGAAACUGGCAGGCAGAGAAAAAGGAAACAUUUGCCAUUUGUAGGAACUGGCAGGGAAGUCACCUAUCUAUAAGGCUGGUGCUGCUAAAGCCUAUUAUCUUUGUUCUUCAAAUUGAUUUAAGUAUCCAGGCAUCUUAAAGAAUAAAAUCUGAAUGGCCAUCUAAAAUCCAUAGUAUUUUAUUCUGUCAUACAGUGUUAAGUUGCUACUACCAAAUAACACACAGUCGUUGAAUCUCUGGAUUUAUUUUUAUGUAUUUAUUUGGUCUUUUUGCCAUUUCUUGGGCGGCUCUCGCGGCAUAUGGAGGUUCCCAGGCUAGGGGUCCAAUCGGAGCUGUAGCCGCCGGCCUACACCAGAGCCACAGCAACGCAAGACCUGAGCCGCGUCUGCAACCUACACCACAGCUCACUGCAACGCCAGAUCGUUAACCCACUGAGCAAGGGCUGGGACCGAACCCGCAACCUCAUGGUUCCUAGUCGGAUUCGUUAACCACUGCGCCACGACGGGAACUCCUGGAUUUAUUUUAAUUAAAAUUAGUCCCGAAUAAACCGACAGGAGUAUUUCCACCACACAAGUGAAAACUGCACUCAUGAAAACACCACACAAGUGAAAACACCACGCAAGUGAAAACUGCACUCAUGAAACACCUUUGCUGAACACCGCCACCUAGAGGAAUUUUUAGGUUACUGCACGUUGCUGCAGGGGCCCCUGCUUAAUCAGAGUAGCUCCAUUUUGUUUGUUUUUAAGAGUAACUUUAAAUUAAGGCAUUAAUCUCAGUUUGUCUUACUUUGCCUCGGGAUUCAAGGCACAUAGGUAGAAUACUUACCCAAGAUUGGGUGCAGCAUUUAGGCUCUGCCCCAAGGUGUCAGAUAGAGUGCCCCAGGUGCUGAUCUGGGGUGAGUGAGAUCAACUGAGAAGCAGUCCAGGAUGCCUGACUGCUCCCUUUUGCAUCCUGCCUGCACAGCUGCAGGAAUUUGAAGAAGGAAUCUGGACCUGCCCUUGGGUCAGUUACCAGAUUUGGGGAACCAAAUGAAAGCAGGUGAUGAGAAAUCUGAGAAAUUGAUGCCCUGUGGGGGAGGGCUACUCUUUGAACAAAGUGAACCUUCAGGACCAGGGUCUCUGGGUGUGGAGGGGAAGGUUGGGAGAAGUGACCCUGUGGGCAGCCCUCCCCCCAGGCAUGGGUGCAGCCCAGGGUCUGUGUGUGGAACCAGCCUGGGUAUGGCCCAGAAGCUGUGUUUUGCCCACAGCCCAAAGACUCGGAUCCCUUCCAGGAAACACUCAAAGAAAGACAGUAUCCAGGGGAGGUGACCAGCCCAAGCCACGGACCCAAGUACCCCCAGUGCAAGGACAAAAUGGACGUAGGAACUUAAGUGCAAUGCGAGGUGAAACUCUCAUACUUUGGAAGUUCCCUUUCACACUUCUUUCUAAACUGGAUCUGUACAUGCCUUGCGGUUUGAACAUGAGACACAUGACACACACAAUAUUCAGGUGUCCAGACCACCGGUAGUAGGGGUGAGGAUUGCCAUGGACGUGUUUGCUCUUACCAAUGCUCUGUGCUAUGGAGAUGCCAUUGCCAUGUAAUCCCAUGCAUUUUGCAGCUUUUCUCCAGGGUGCUUAAAUCCCUGUGCAGACAUUGCAGCUAAACUGAAAACAAUGAAACUUUUUAAAAAGUUUUUUUUUUAAAAAAACAUACUCAGUAUUUUGACUGUUUUUAUUUGGUGGCAGAUGUCCAACACCAAGGUGUGAUGGGAGUGGUCCUAUGACUGGUAAUUAGCCUCACAUAGAUGUGCCUUCAUUUUUUCUCAUGGUGGAUUCUGUCUUUCAAUUUAUUGUUUUCAGCUUGCCUCAAAAAUGCUGUCCAAGUACAAACAUUGAAUUAUGCAUCAUCCCUUUAAGUGUGGUAUGUUGACCUUUGAAAGCAUGCUGAUUGAUUAUCAUGUGGUAUAAUGUCUAUUUUGAAAUAAACCACCUAAAUUUGGAAAAUUAUUUAUAAA
RNAcentral lists this long non-coding RNA (3120 nucleotides) under Sus scrofa (pig). RNAcentral describes it as "lncRNA (ENSSSCG00055009711.1)". The record is from RNAcentral. Lineage: Eukaryota; Metazoa; Chordata; Mammalia; Artiodactyla; Suidae.